GACGAACGCUGGCGGCGUGCUUAACACAUGCAAGUCGAGCGGUAAGGCUCCUUCGGGAGUACACGAGCGGCGAACGGGUGAGUAACACGUGAGCAAUCUGCCCUUCACUUUGGGAUAACUCCGGGAAACCGGUGCUAAUACCGAAUGCGACCACUUCAGGCAUCUGACGGUGGUGGAAAGUUCCGGCGGUGAAGGAUGAGCUCGCGGCCUAUCAGCUUGUUGGUGAGGUAAUGGCUCACCAAGGCUUCGACGGGUAGCCGGCCUGAGAGGGUGACCGGCCACACUGGGACUGAGACACGGCCCAGACUCCUACGGGAGGCAGCAGUGGGGAAUAUUGGACAAUGGGCGAAAGCCUGAUCCAGCAACGCCGCGUGAGGGAUGACGGCCUCGG
This 391-nucleotide ribosomal RNA is filed under the name uncultured bacterium. RNAcentral describes it as "bacterial SSU rRNA". It matches the Rfam family "Bacterial small subunit ribosomal RNA", at positions 28 to 420 of the family's 1533-position model. The record is from RNAcentral.